UCUGGUGCCAGCAGCCGCGGUAAUUCCAGCUCCAAUAGCGUAUAUUAAAGUUGUUGCAGUUAAAAAGCUCGUAGUUGAAUUUCGGGGUUCAUCCGUUGGUCGGGCUUUUGGGUCUGUACUGGCGUGAUGGAUUCCUACCCUUUCUGGAAUAAACCAGCCAUGUCAUUAAUUUGGUGCGCUGGGGAAGCAGGACUGUUACCUUGAAAAAAUUAGAGU
RNAcentral lists this ribosomal RNA (216 nucleotides) under uncultured Acaulospora. RNAcentral's name for it is "partial 18S ribosomal RNA". It matches the Rfam family "Eukaryotic small subunit ribosomal RNA", at positions 560 to 772 of the family's 1831-position model. The record is from RNAcentral. Lineage: Eukaryota; Fungi; Glomeromycota; Glomeromycetes; Diversisporales; Acaulosporaceae.